Molecule: long non-coding RNA, 370 nt
Organism: Cyprinodon variegatus (sheepshead minnow)
Lineage: Eukaryota; Metazoa; Chordata; Actinopteri; Cyprinodontiformes; Cyprinodontidae
Exons: 2
Source: RefSeq, a predicted model, not a curated record
UCUCAAUUUUAAAAUGCAAACACUUCCUGUUUCAAGAGGAGUCAAUUAUAAAAGAUGACAACUGGGAAGACAAUUGACAGAGCCUUCUAAUUUAACAACAGCAACAGAUUGUAAGGCAUAAAAAAGGUGUACAUUUUAGCUUUAUAAAAAUAAAAAUUUAGACAAGGUCUAGAGAGCUAAAUAGAUGGGACCUACUUUACACUCUUGGUUAAGUAUAAUCAUAUCUUUGGACUAUUUUAAGGUGGAUCACAAAAAGGGUAAUCUAGAAAAAAUAUCAUUCAGACAAAAAAAAAAACACUUUGUUUUAAGUGUAAUCGGUUUCUGCAGUUUAACCUAAGAAUACAAAAAGUUCUGUCAAUGUUUGGGUGAA